GGAUUCCCCUAGUAACUGCGAGUGAAGAGGGAAAAGCUCAAAUUUAAAAUCUGGCAGUCUUCGGCUGUCCGAGUUGUAAUUUAGAGAAGUGUUACCCGCAUUGGACCGUGUACAAGUCUCCUGGAAUGGAGCGUCAUAGAGGGUGAGAAUCCCGUCUUUGACACGGAUUACCUGUGCAUUGUGGUGCGCUCUCGAAGAGUCGAGUUGUUUGGGAAUGCAGCUCUAAAUGGGUGGUAAAUUCCAUCUAAAGCUAAAUAUUGGGGAGAGACCGAUAGCGAACAAGUACCGUGAGGGAAAGAUGAAAAGAACUUUGGAAAGAGAGUUAAACAGUACGUGAAAUUGCUGAAAGGGAAACGCUUGAAGUCAGUCGCGUUAGCUGGGGAUCAGCCUUCCUUCUGGUUGGUGUACUUCCUAGUUGACGGGUCAGCAUCAGUUUUGACCAGUGGAUAAAAGUUUGAGGAAUGUGGCAUCUUCGGGUGUGUUAUAGCCUCUUGCUGUAUACAUUGGUUGGGACUGAGGAACUCAGCACGCCGCAAGGCCGGGUUUUUUAACCACGUUCGUGCUUAGGAUGCUGGCAUAAUGGCUUUAAUCGACCCGU
This 598-nucleotide small RNA is filed under the name Marasmiellus sp. 7090102. Its description in RNAcentral is "eukaryotic LSU rRNA". It matches the Rfam family "Eukaryotic large subunit ribosomal RNA", at positions 72 to 652 of the family's 3401-position model. Lineage: Eukaryota; Fungi; Basidiomycota; Agaricomycetes; Agaricales; Omphalotaceae. The record is from RNAcentral.